Molecule: long non-coding RNA, 1445 nt
Organism: Myzus persicae (green peach aphid)
Lineage: Eukaryota; Metazoa; Arthropoda; Insecta; Hemiptera; Aphididae
Exons: 4
Source: RefSeq, a predicted model, not a curated record
CAAACAUUCGAUCUCAUUGUGUAAACGAUUUAAAAUUAAAAUUGUUUUACAUGUAAUGUUUAACUCUGCUUUGAAUAGGAAUGAUAAUAAUAUGUGCGACAGAACUGUACAGUGUUUGUUAAGGCAAACAUUUUCUGGCUUGCCGAACAAAACGGAAAUCCGUCUGAGACAAAUGUAUUACUGGCGGCUCGCGUGUGAUUCUAUGUUUUUGACGGACGGAUCAUUAAAACAGAGUUGCACAUAAUGGACGGCCGAAAAAUGUUUGAACAUCUUAAGUAACCAAUUCGUGUACUGCGCCAACAGAUUCUCUAUAUGGCUGUGACGGUGUUUGCUUGCAAGUUUGACAUUAUAGUUGCGGUUUCAAGACACGUCCGUCUCACGACACGUUGUUUUUGUACAAGUAUGAACCAGUUUUAAUAAAAAUGACCAGCUACAUCAUUAUUUUCCUAUAGUAAAACUUCUUGGAAAAUUGAUUUCGAUUUGGGAAUUCAUACACCAGUACAUUUAUUUGAAAAUUCAGUUGGAUAGAUAAACAUGCUUAAAUUGUGUAAAAUUCAACAUGUGCUGUGGCUACAGUGAUUGCUCUGCUGAUAUGGAUAAGAUACAUAAGACAUUUAAAUUCAAUUUAAGAGAAAACACUUAAAAUACUUUCUAUAGGCUAAUAUUAGCAUACUACACCUGUUAUUAUAUAACUAUUAUUAUUAUUAUUAUUACUAAUUUUAAUUUCUUGUGAUUUGUAAAUACCUUAAAACGUAGCUGAUAGUUUCUUUGUUUACUAAUAAUCUUCCAAUAUUAUUACUAAUUGUUAUCCAUUUUCAAAAUGUUAAAAAUAAUAAUGUAUCUAUUCAACAUUAAGUUAAGAUGACAUAAUAUGUCAGUAAGACUUUAUUUAAUAAAAAAAAGGGAAAAAAAGCAUACUACACAUUGUUACUAACAUUUUAAUUUAUUAUUCGUGAUAUUAAGUAUUAACCUGAUCGUUAUGUCAAAUCUUGAGUUGUGCACUGGGUUUUGAAACUCAUGCUGGUUAAUGGAUAUGGCAUUUUUGAAAACAACAACUAUUUUCGGUUCAAGAAGUUUAACAAACUAUUUAGUGAGAAUGCUAAGAUGACAAAUGGUAACAAUCAAGAAGAUUCAUUUGAUGUAUACAAACAAAAUAACUUAUCAAAAAACUUGACAGAAAAUGUACAACGGUAAAAGGGUAAAUAAAAACAAAUUCCAUGGUAAAAAUACCUGGGGAAAUGUAAGAUUCAAUCACUAUCAAUCGCUUACUUGCAUUUAAACUUCAAAUUAAUAAUAUAGAUAUUUAAUAUUAUAUUGUAUUACUAUACAAUUUUUAGAAACAUAUUUAAUUAAAAUCCAGCUGUUAUUCAAGGAAGGAGCAAUUUUUAAAAAAUAUUGAAACGUAUGUAUUCAUUGCAUAAAUAUUUAAUCUAUAAAAAUAAAAA